RNAcentral lists this transfer RNA (82 nucleotides) under Pseudomonadota bacterium. Its description in RNAcentral is "tRNA-Leu". It matches the Rfam family "tRNA". Rfam says of the family: Transfer RNA (tRNA) molecules are approximately 80 nucleotides in length. Their secondary structure includes four short double-helical elements and three loops (D, anti-codon, and T loops). RNAcentral also lists the same sequence under 2 other names. Lineage: Bacteria; Pseudomonadati; Pseudomonadota. The record is from RNAcentral.
GUCCCGAUGGCGGAACUGGCAGACGCGCCAUCUUGAGGGGGUGGUACCGAAAGGUGUGGAGGUUCGAAUCCUCUUCGGGACA